UACUAACAUAAGCUCUGCUACCUCAGGUCAUCUGAAAGAGGAGAAGAUGGAGGGAGCAUGUGUAGGUCUUCCAGGAAGAGAUGAGAGUCUUGAACACCAAGUGAAAAGAUCAAGAAAUUUCUUCAUAUAAAAAGAGUAUUCAGACCAGGCAUGGUGGCUCACGGCUGUAAUCCUGGCACUUUGGGAGGCUGAAGGCAGUGGGCAUCACUGAACCGUGUGAGGAAUGAGAGAGGGUGGAACAAACUCCCUGUUACCAAGAACAGCAUCUGGUGAAGAUGUCAAGGCCUACUGGGCAAGGUGUCAACUCAUUUUGACACAGUCUGCAGCAGCAUUGUUCAUUUUACUUUUCCAGG
This 353-nucleotide long non-coding RNA is filed under the name Macaca nemestrina (pig-tailed macaque). RNAcentral's name for it is "lncRNA (ENSMNEG00000046208.1)". Lineage: Eukaryota; Metazoa; Chordata; Mammalia; Primates; Cercopithecidae. The record is from RNAcentral.